Molecule: ribosomal RNA, 506 nt
Filed under: uncultured bacterium
Lineage: Bacteria
Description: partial 16S ribosomal RNA
Rfam family: Bacterial small subunit ribosomal RNA
Source: RNAcentral
GAUGAACGCUGGCGGCGUGCUUAACACAUGCAAGUCGAACGAAGCACUUUAUUUGAUUUCCUUCGGGACUGAUUAUUUUGUGACUGAGUGGCGGACGGGUGAGUAACGCGUGGGUAACCUGCCUUGUACAGGGGGAUAACAGUUGGAAACGGCUGCUAAUACCGCAUAAGCGCACAGCAUCGCAUGAUGCAGUGUGAAAAACUCCGGUGGUAUAAGAUGGACCCGCGUUGGAUUAGCUAGUCGGUGAGGUAACGGCCCACCAAGGCGACGAUCCGUAGCCGGACGCAUAGGAGGAUCAGCCACAAUGAAAGUGAGAGAAGGGCGAGACGCGUACGAGAGGCAGCAGGGGGGAAUAUUGGAGAAUGGGCGAAAGGCGGAUAAAGAAAAGCUGCGUGAGUGAAGAAGGUUCUCGGAGUGUAAAGCAAUUUAAGUGGGGAGGAAGAGCAGUAAGCGAAUAACUUGCGGUGUGGAGGUUACCAAAAGAAUAAGCACGGGCUAAGUUCGUG